GAUGAACGCUGGCGGCGUGCCUAAUACAUGCAAGUCGAGCGAACAGACGAGGAGCUUGCUCCUCUGACGUUAGCGGCGGACGGGUGAGUAACACGUGGAUAACCUACCUAUAAGACUGGGAUAACUUCGGGAAACCGGAGCUAAUACCGGAUAAUAUAUUGAACCGCAUGGUUCAAUAGUGAAAGACGGUUUUGCUGUCACUUAUAGAUGGAUCCGCGCCGCAUUAGCUAGUUGGUAAGGUAACGGCUUACCAAGGCAACGAUGCGUAGCCGACCUGAGAGAGUGAUCGGCCAAACUGGAACUGAGACACGGUCCAGACUCCUACGGGAGGCAGCAGUAGGGAAUCUUCCACAAUGGUCGAAAGCCUGACGGAGCAACGCCGCGUGAGUGAUGAAGGUCUUCGGAUCGUAAAACUCUGUUAUUAGGGAAGAACAAAUGUGUAAGUAACUAUGCACGUCUUGACGGUACCUAAUCAGAAAGCCACGGCUAACUACGUG
RNAcentral lists this ribosomal RNA (497 nucleotides) under uncultured bacterium. Its description in RNAcentral is "partial 16S ribosomal RNA". It matches the Rfam family "Bacterial small subunit ribosomal RNA", at positions 28 to 507 of the family's 1533-position model. The record is from RNAcentral.